CCUACAGGGCGCAGCAGUGGGGAAUAUUGCACAAUGGGGGAAACCCUGAUGCAGCGACGCCGCGUGAGUGAAGAAGUAAUUCGAUACGUAAAGCUCUAUCAGCAGGGAAGAAACACUGACCUUACGGUCAGCAGACGGUACCUGAGUAAGAAGCCCCGGCUAACUACGUGCCAGCAGCCGCGGUAAUACGUAGGGGGCAAGCGUUAUCCGGAUUUACUGGGUGUAAAGGGAGCGUAGACGGCAGCGCAAGUCUGAAGUGAAAUCCCAUGGCUUAACCAUGGAACUGCUUUGGAAACUGUGCAGCU
This 305-nucleotide ribosomal RNA is filed under the name uncultured bacterium. RNAcentral describes it as "bacterial SSU rRNA". It matches the Rfam family "Bacterial small subunit ribosomal RNA", at positions 338 to 642 of the family's 1533-position model. The record is from RNAcentral.